UACGUAGGGUCCGAGCGUUGUCCGGAAUUAUUGGGCGUAAAGAGCUUGUAGGCGGUUUGUCGCGUCUGCUGUGAAAAUCCGGGGCUCAACCCCGGACUUGCAGUGGGUACGGGCAGACUAGAGUGUGGUAGGGGAGACUGGAAUUCCUGGUGUAGCGGUGAAAUGCGCAGAUAUCAGGAGGAACACCGAUGGCGAAGGCAGGUCUCUGGGCCACUACUGACGCUGAGAAGCGAAAGCAUGGGGAGCGAACAGGAUUAGAUACCCCCCGUAGU
Molecule: ribosomal RNA, 272 nt
Filed under: uncultured prokaryote
Description: partial 16S ribosomal RNA
Rfam family: Bacterial small subunit ribosomal RNA
Source: RNAcentral